GACGAACGCUGGCGGCGUGCUUAACACAUGCAAGUCGAACGGAAAGGCCCUGCUUUUGUGGGGUGCUCGAGUGGCGAACGGGUGAGUAACACGUGAGUAACCUGCCCUUGACUUUGGGAUAACUUCAGGAAACUGGGGCUAAUACCGGAUAGGAGCUCCUGCUGCAUGGUGGGGGUUGGAAAGUUUCGGCGGUUGGGGAUGGACUCGCGGCUUAUCAGCUUGUUGGUGGGGUAGUGGCUUACCAAGGCUUUGACGGGUAGCCGGCCUGAGAGGGUGACCGGCCACAUUGGGACUGAGAUACGGCCCAGACUCCUACGGGAGGCAGCAGUGGGGAAUAUUGCACAGUGGGCGGAAGCCUGAUGCAGCAACGCCGCGUGCGGGAUGACGGCCUUCGGGUUGUAAACCGCUUUCGCCUGUGACGAAGCGUGAGUGACGGUAAUGGGUAAAGAAGCACCGGCUAACUACGUGCCAGCAGCCGCGGUGAUACGUAGGGUGCGAGCGUUGUCCGGAUUUAUUGGGCGUAAAGGGCUCGUAGGUGGUCGAUCGCGUCGGAAGUGUAAUCUUGGGGCUUAACCCUGAGCGUGCUUUCGAUACGGGUUGACUUGAGGAAGGUAGGGGAGAAUGGAAUUCCUGGUGGAGCGGUGGAAUGCGCAGAUAUCAGGAGGAACACCAGUGGCGAAGGCGGUUCUCUGGGCCUUUCCUGACGCUGAGGAGCGAAAGCGUGGGGAGCGAACGGGCUUAGAUACCCUGGUAGUCCACGCUGUAAACGGUGGGUACUAGGUGUGGGGUCCAUUCCACGGGUUCCGUGCCGUAGCUAACGCUUUAAGUACCCCGCCUGGGGAGUACGGCCGCAAGGCUAAAACUCAAAGGAAUUGACGGGGCCCCGCACAAGCGGCGGAGCAUGCGGAUUAAUUCGAUGCAACGCGUAGAACCUUACCUGGGUUUGACAUGGAUCGGGAGCGCUCAGAGAUGGGUGUGCCUCUUUUGGGGUCGGUUCACAGGUGGUGCAUGGCUGUCGUCAGCUCGUGUCGUGAGAUGUUGGGUUAAGUCCCGCAACGAGCGCAACCCUUGUUCACUGUUGCCAGCACGUUAUGGUGGGGACUCAGUGGAGACCGCCGGGGUCAACUCGGAGGAAGGUGGGGAUGACGUCAAGUCAUCAUGCCCCUUAUGUCCAGGGCUUCACGCAUGCUACAAUGGCUGGUACAGAGAGUGGCGAGCCUGUGAGGGUGAGCGAAUCUCGGAAAGCCGGUCUCAGUUCGGAUUGGGGUCUGCAACUCGACCUCAUGAAGUCGGAGUCGCUAGUAAUCGCAGAUCAGCAACGCUGCGGUGAAUACGUUCCCGGG
Molecule: ribosomal RNA, 1343 nt
Filed under: uncultured bacterium
Lineage: Bacteria
Description: 16S ribosomal RNA
Rfam family: Bacterial small subunit ribosomal RNA
Source: RNAcentral